AGUGAACGCUGGCGGUAGGCCUAACACAUGCAAGUCGAACGGCAGCACAGUAAGAGCUUGCUCUUACGGGUGGCGAGUGGCGGACGGGUGAGGAAUACAUCGGAAUCUACUUUUUCGUGGGGGAUAACGUAGGGAAACUUACGCUAAUACCGCAUACGACCUACGGGUGAAAGCAGGGGAUCUUCGGACCUUGCGCGAUUGAAUGAGCCGAUGUCGGAUUAGCUAGUUGGCGGGGUAAAGGCCCACCAAGGCGACGAUCCGUAGCUGGUCUGAGAGGAUGAUCAGCCACACUGGAACUGAGACACGGUCCAGACCCCUACGGGAGGCAGCAGUGGGGAAUAUUGGACAAUGGGCGCAAGCCUGAUCCAGCCAUACCGCGUGGGUGAAGAAGGCCUUCGGGUUGUAAAGCCCUUUUGUUGGGAAAGAAAAGCAGCAGGUUAAUACCCCGCUGUUCUGACGGUACCCAAAGAAUAAGCACCGGCUAACUUCGU
RNAcentral lists this ribosomal RNA (491 nucleotides) under uncultured bacterium. RNAcentral describes it as "partial 16S ribosomal RNA". It matches the Rfam family "Bacterial small subunit ribosomal RNA", at positions 29 to 506 of the family's 1533-position model. The record is from RNAcentral.